UACGUAGGGUGCGAGCGUUAAUCGGAAUUACUGGGCGUAAAGCGUGCGCAGGCGGUGAUGUAAGACAGGUGUGAAAUCCCCGGGCUUAACCUGGGAACUGCAUUUGUGACUGCAUCGCUGGAGUGCGGCAGAGGGGGAUGGAAUUCCGCGUGUAGCAGUGAAAUGCGUAGAUAUGCGGAGGAACACCGAUGGCGAAGGCAGUCCCCUGGGCCUGUACUGACGCUCAUGCACGAAAGCGUGGGGAGCAAACAGG
Molecule: ribosomal RNA, 253 nt
Filed under: uncultured bacterium
Lineage: Bacteria
Description: partial 16S ribosomal RNA
Rfam family: Bacterial small subunit ribosomal RNA
Source: RNAcentral